CAAUUUUGACUUGUGACGCGAGAAGGUCGGAUUAAACAUCUGAUCUUAGUGUAAGAAUAGAGGCUAUAAACAUGGUUUUGACUUUUGUGGUGAUGAUUAAGUCAAGAUCUAGUCUAAAAGAGGUUCUUAAGUGGAGAUAGGGCUGUAAAGAGAAAGAGUAGCAGGACGAAACUGCCGGUGAUGAAGAUGGGAGGACUACUCAAGAAACUACUGAGUUGAUGAUAUGCACCCAGUCUGCAAGAUACAUUGGACUAUAGGAGAGUGCGUCCUAUUAGGAUCAUGUGGGAAUUCCCCUUGCAACAUUCCUUCUUCAAGAAACUUCAAUGUUAUUUAGAUUAUUGUGGUGGGACGGAUAUCCAAUGAAAAGUAUGCCUUC
Camelina sativa (false flax) is the source of this 376-nucleotide non-coding RNA. The record is from RefSeq and is a predicted model, not a curated record. NCBI's taxonomy places the organism in Eukaryota, Viridiplantae, Streptophyta, Magnoliopsida, Brassicales, Brassicaceae.